AAUAUGUCUUAAAAUGUGAAUAAAUACCAGUUACACCGUCUAUGAAAACUUAGAGAAAGUUGAGAUCAGUAUAGGAAGGCUUCCCUAAAAUAGGUGAAAGAGUUUGUUUGCCCUUGGUAGUGACCUUUCAGUUUUAAAUAAUGUAAUUUUGCCUGAAGCAUGGACAUAAAGUCACAUUCUUAAUUUUAAAGGAUUUUUUCAAGGCACUGGGAAGAGUAAAACAGAUUCAUAAUGAUGUCAAAGUUCUCUUGCGUACAAAUCAACAAACGGCAGGUUUAGAAAUUAUGGAACAGAUGGCCUUACUUCAAGAAACGGCUUAUGAAAGACUUUACCGAUGGGCUCAAAGUGAAUGCAGAACAUUGACACAAGAAUCAUGUGAUGUAUCUCCAGUAUUGACACAGGCAAUGGAAGCCCUGCAGGACAGACCUGUCUUAUAUAAAUAUACCUUAGAUGAAUUUGGAACAGCCAGAAGAAGUACAGUUGUUCGUGGAUUUAUUGAUGCGCUCACAAGAGGGGGCCCCGGAGGUACA
Molecule: small RNA, 530 nt
Filed under: Pan troglodytes (chimpanzee)
Lineage: Eukaryota; Metazoa; Chordata; Mammalia; Primates; Hominidae
Description: processed transcript
Source: RNAcentral